This 900-nucleotide ribosomal RNA is filed under the name Triticum aestivum (bread wheat). Its description in RNAcentral is "partial small subunit ribosomal RNA". The record is from RNAcentral. Lineage: Eukaryota; Viridiplantae; Streptophyta; Magnoliopsida; Poales; Poaceae.
AAGGUGUGCAAGUUAUUAAAGUCUUUAUAUGGCCUUAAACAAGCUCCUAAGGAGUGGCAUGAGAAGUUCGAAAGAACAUUAACUGCUGCUGGCUUUGUAGUAAACGAUGGUGACAAGUGCGUGUACUAUCGCUAUGGUGGGGGCGAAGGAGUUAUUCUUUGUCUAUAUGUCGAUGACAUAUUGAUCUUUGGAACCAAACUUGAUUUAAUCAAGGAGGUUAAGGAUUUCUUAUCUCGUUGUUUUGAGAUGAAGGAUCUAGGAGUAGCUGAUGUUAUCUUAAACAUCAAGCUGUUGAGAGAUGAGAAUGAUGGGAUCACACUGCUUCAGUCUCAUUAUGUGGAAAAGGUCUUGAGUCGUUUUGGGUAUAGCGACUGCACGCCUUCUCCAACUCCAUAUGAUGCUAGUGUGUUGCUUCGAAAGAAUCGACGGAUUGCUAGAGAUCAACUGAGGUAUUCUCAGAUUAUUGGCUCGCUUAUGUAUUUGACGAGUGCCACGAGGCCUGACAUCUCUUUUGCUGUGAGCAAGCUGAGUCGGUUUGUGUCAAAACCGGGAGAUGAUCAUUGGCAUGCGCUUGAGAGAGUUAUGCGCUAUUUGAAAGGUGCCGCGAGCUAUGGGAUUCACUACACCGGGUAUCCAAGGGUACUGGAGGGUUAUAGUGACUCAAACUGGAUAUCUGAUGCUGAUGAGAUUAAGGCCACAAGUGGUUAUAUAAACAGUUCUAAGGACAAUAUGAAGUUCUCAAGGCAUGUGAAGAGGAGACUAAAAUCUGUCAGAAAACUGAGGAAUUCCGGAGUUAUUACGUUGGAUUAUAUCCAAACGUCGAAAAACUUGGCAGAUCCCUUCACAAAGGGUCUAUCACGUAAUGUUGAUACUUAUCUUAAUGUGUUCCAAGUGGCUUAU